RNAcentral lists this small nuclear RNA (231 nucleotides) under Capra hircus (goat). RNAcentral describes it as "7SK RNA (ENSCHIG00000002594.1)". The stretch from base 1 to 186 matches the Rfam family "7SK RNA". From Rfam's summary of the family: 7SK was discovered as an abundant small nuclear RNA in the mid-70s but a possible function has only recently been suggested. Lineage: Eukaryota; Metazoa; Chordata; Mammalia; Artiodactyla; Bovidae. The record is from RNAcentral.
GGAUGUGAGGGUGAUCUGGUCACCCCAUUGAUCUCUGAGGAUGAUUCAGCUGAUCUGGCUGACUAUGUGGGUGUCUCUUUCCUCCCUCAUCAUUCCAUGUGUGUCCCUCUCAAAGCUGCACACUUGGUUGAAGAGGACAGCCAUCCCUGAUAGAGGAGGACUGGUCUUCAGUCAAGGGUAUCUAGUGGAACAGAUCAUUUUGAUUCUGAUGCUUUUAAUGGGAAACUUUCA